Molecule: ribosomal RNA, 484 nt
Filed under: uncultured bacterium
Lineage: Bacteria
Description: partial 16S ribosomal RNA
Rfam family: Bacterial small subunit ribosomal RNA
Source: RNAcentral
AUUGAACGCUGGCGGCAGGCCUAACACAUGCAAGUCGAGCGGAUGAAGGGAGCUUGCUCCUGGAUUCAGCGGCGGACGGGUGAGUAAUGCCUAGGAAUCUGCCUGGUAGUGGGGGAUAACGUCCGGAAACGGGCGCUAAUACCGCAUACGUCCUGAGGGGGAAAGUGGGGGAUCUUCGGACCUCACGCUAUCAGAUAAGCCUAGGUCGGAUUAGCUAGUUGGUGGGGUAAAGGCCUACCAAGGCGACGAUUCGUAACUGGUCUGAGAGGAUGAUCAGUCACACUGGAACUGAGACACGGUCCAGACUCCUACGGGAGGCAGCAGUGGGGAAUAUUGGACAAUGGGCGAAAGCCUGAUCCAGCCAUGCCGCGUGUGUGAAGAAGGUCUUCGGAUUGUAAAGCACUUUAAGUUGGGAGGAAGGGCAGUAAGUUAAUACCUUGCUGUUUUGACGUUACCAACAGAAUAAGCACCGGCUAACUUCGUG